Long non-coding RNA from Anas platyrhynchos (mallard), 1631 nucleotides. RefSeq lists it as uncharacterized. The record is from RefSeq and is a predicted model, not a curated record. Lineage: Eukaryota; Metazoa; Chordata; Aves; Anseriformes; Anatidae.
CUUGUAUGCAAACACAAACUCACUCUGGACUAAAUUAAUGAGCUAUAGUAUUUUGUUCUUCCCAGUUCUUUGUGUUUCCAAAGACAUCUAGUGUUUAGGUAUCUAUUUAGGCAUUCCUGAGCAUAUAAUGCAUGCUGCUCACAGCUGAAUUAGGUUAAUCAGCUCUUCUCCUGUUUAAAUCAGAGAUGCUGUUGGAUAUGUCAAUGGCUGGAAAAAGUUCUCCAGGUGGUGUGUAUUUUGCAAAACGAGUGGUUUGACAAAUCCACUCAAGGCAUCCAAGAUAAAUCCUUCAAACUACAAAUUCUAUUAUUACUGGGCAUGUGCUACCCCUCUGCAGUGACCUUGCCAUCCUAAGCAGGUUCUUAUGACAUCACCUUAAUGCCGUGGCUUAAAAACAGCUUAAUUAAUUUAGUGUCUAUGCAUUGCUGUCUGCUGCCAUUGUAACCUUCACAUAAAUAAAAAGAAGAUAAGGCACCCAGCUGCCUCUCAUGCAGAGCCCUGUGGGUCCUGGCCAUAACCCCCCAGCUGCUUCAGGGGUAUCUCUGAGGAACAUGAAGUCCAUCCCUGAAGAACCAGCCCAGGCAGACUCCAGCGGAGCAGUGGAUUUCUGUGCAGGUUGUGCCCAGGGAUCUUGUACUGGGAAUGCAGAAAUGGGCUGAGGCAGCAAAAGCACUGGAGGGAUGUAAGGUUUCAAUGUCAUCCUUUCUGCCAGCUCGGGAGAAGUUCAUGGAGACUUAAGGAGUUUGAACCAGUCACCUCGCUAUUGUCCUGCGCAGGGCUAACCUGUAUGGUACAAACAGAAUGUUGUCUGCCUUCUCCCCCUGCUUCUUUCUGUGUAAUUAAUAAUUACACAAAGGCACUGGAGAUGGAUAAGCAAAACAAUAAGCUAGGUUAGUUGGGGUAGUAAGUGGGCAGGGGUGAUGGCAGGAGUUAAGAUCACCAGUAAAUCCUCCGCUUUCUGUGAUUUGUUCACUAGUGCAAAUUGUCUUUCCCAACAGACCCCUAAGAAAAGGCAAGCAUAACAUAAAGUCACUAAGAGACAGGCAGUAUUUUUCCAGUUACCUCUGAGAAGACCUUUGCCAUCAUUCAUUUCCCAGAGACCCAAAAGAACUUUAAAAUGUCCUAUCUGGGCAAAUUUCCGCUAACAUAAAUUAUCAAUUUCAGCUCUUAUUGCCAAUGUAAAAAGUGACGUAAAUGAGAUGGGCUAGCCAUUUGUAACAUUAAUAUAUUGAAGUGAUGUGGUGCUUCAUCUUAUACAUACAUUUUUAUGUGUCCUUUAUUACUUACAUGGUUGACAGUAAAUUUUCCUAGUGUGCAUUGGUUCCCAUGAUGCCUUCAUUGUGCUGGAUCCUGAAAACAGUGAAACACUGCCAUGGGAAGGUGGGAAAUUACGAAUGUCAGGCCUGAUAAGGCACAAGUUUAAACAAUCAAUCUACUGACUGAGAAAUGAACUAAAUAGUGCUGAGAUACUUUCCUCUGUUCACAGGCAUGUGGGUAUAUGUUCACAGAAGAGAGGAGCUUCUCUCUCCCAAUGCAGCUGACAAAUAUUCUUCGCUCCUUACUGUUUCCUGCUUCUGUAUUUUACACCUUCUUGUAAAUUCUUAUCAUCAAAUUAAAAAUCUUUCUAAGAA